Molecule: long non-coding RNA, 1605 nt
Organism: Lolium rigidum
Lineage: Eukaryota; Viridiplantae; Streptophyta; Magnoliopsida; Poales; Poaceae
Exons: 3
Source: RefSeq, a predicted model, not a curated record
UCGAGCUACUCAAGGUUCUGAUGCUGGCCGCCAUCGUCACUUGCUGGGGUGGGAACUGCUACCACUUCAACUGCCCUUCGUCCUCUCCGUCGUAGGUAUACGCCGCCUUUCUCUUCCUCUUGCUCGGUUGACUUCUUUUUCAACCUCUGGUGUGGUGCCAGUAUGUGUUUGCUUCCAGUGUGGGUGUCGACGGAAGGUAGGAGGCCAGCCCCACCACCUCUGUUUCUUCUCAUAUGCCCUGCGGGCUGUUUUGGAUUCGGUCCGGGUGAAGUGGGUGUUGAUGUGGGCUAGGAUAGGAACGGCAACGUUGAUUCUUGCUUGAACAAGAUGGUCGCUCUCCAUCGCGGAUAGAGGAUGCCAAGGUGAACUCCGUGCUAUGCCUACUUAUGUAUCUUUGUACGGCGGUAUGCUAACUGUUUGGUCCAUCGACUAAUCGGUGUGCAUGCCAGUUUUUUAAUGUAGUAUAUCAAAUAUUUUUUACCCGUGACCAUUGUAUUGGUUCAGGUGUUCAGUGUUAACAUUCAGCUGUUGGGUUGCUAUCCGAGAAUUCAGAACAAGAAGAAGGCAGAAGUUCAUGUUGAUUAACAUGACAAGACGGUGAAUAUACCCGGUAAAUGCUCCAAAGCAUUAGCCUUCGAUGGAGCCGGCAAAGAAUCUUUGCAAAUGUUACAAAGAAAAAAACAUAGUAGUGAUAUUACCAGAUGGCACAUAUAGUUUUCCACUUGCAGAAGCAGCCACGUUACUGACUAUGUUUAGCCAACUGCAGAUCAAGUAUUACUUCCUGUUAAAAAAAAAAGUAUUACUUACAAUUCCGAAGUGGUGUAUGUAUAUUAAGAUUUGUACAUGACUGCUCAUUUUGGAACCUUUCUUCAUGUAAGCACCAGGUUUGUUGAACUUUACACCUUUUUGGUUUGAUUAAAUUGAUAGAAACUUGAUGUUGUCAUCACUUCCUUUGGUGCAUGGUUUCAGGAGAUAAACACAUCCAGCUGUUUCAUUUGAACUUCAUUUGUUUGAUUAAAAAAAUGAGAAAUGAUAUGUUAUACAUUGGGUCUCAGAUUUAAAUUUGCUUUGGAAUACAAAUGUGUGAUUUAUUUGAUCAUGGUUGUUAUUCUUCUAACAGGUUACAAUCACAUGGCCAGUGACAUGUGCAAUAAGCGGUAGUUUUGGGCUUCUUUUCUUGUGAGUGCCAGCAUUACAAGGGGCCCUAAUCCAGCCAAAGGAUCAGCAGAAUUGGUUGUCUAAUUCAUGAACAUUUGUCAGAGACAUGGUUAAGAAUUAGAAAUGUAUGCUGGAGUGAGCGGAAACCACAGAUUGUUAUGGAAGCAAAGAGGCAGUCAAAAGAACUGGGGUGUAGACAAAGUUGACGUCUUGCAACAGUUUUGUUGGAGGACUUGACUCAAAGGAGUAUAUUCAGACUGGAUUCUUACCGGCUACAUGGCGUUUUGGCACCGUUAUCAGUACAUGGCAGAGCAAUGCUUUGCAUCUACUGGUUAUUGAGAAAUCCGAAGUUCUGACUUCUUCACUCUAGCAUUAUAUCUUUUAUUUGUCUCACCAUCUAGAACUUUUUCUUUGGAAAUGAAAGCUUAAUACGUUGAUUACUCUAUA